GGUUUGACCCUGGCUCAGAUUGAACAAGCUGGCGGGAUGCUUUCAUACAUGCAAGUCGAACGGCACGGACUUCGGUCUGGUGGCGAGUGGCGAACGGGUGAGUAAUGUAUCGGAACGUGCCUAGUAUGGGGGAUAACUACGCGAAAGCGCCAAUACCGCAUACGCCCUUCGGGGGAAAGUGGGGACCUUCGGGCCUCGCACUAUUAGAGCGGCUGAGGUUAUCGGAUUAGCUAGCGUUGGUGGGGUAACGGCUCACCAAGGCGACGAUCCGUAGCUGGUUUGAGAGGACGACCAGCCACACCGGGACUGAGACACAGCCCAGACUCCUGAGGCAGCAGGGGGAAUUUUACUGGGAAACCCGCAUCCAGCCAUCAUCCCGCGUGUGCGAUGAAGGCCUUCGGGGUUGUAAAGCACUUGGCAGGAGUGAAAUUUAAUGAUACCCCGUGCAACUGACGUGGUAAAAUUCCUGCAGAAUAAGCACCGGCUAACUACGCCAGCAGCCGCGGUAAUACGAAGGUAAGCGUUAAUCGGAAUUACUGGGCGUAAAGCGUGCGCAGGCGGUUCGGAAAAGAAAGAUGUGAAAUCCAGAGCUUAACUUUGGAACUGCAUUUCUUAAUCACCGAGCUAGAGUGUGUCAGAGUGGGAGGUGGAAUUCGCGUAGCAGUAAAUGCGUAGAUAUGCGGAGGAACACUGAUGGCGAAGGCAGCCUCCUGGGAUAACACUGACGCUCAUGCACGAAGCGUGGGGAGCAAACAGGAUUAGAUACCCUGGUGGGUCCACGCCCUAAACGAUGUCAACUAGCUGUUGGGGCCUUCGGGCUCGGUAGCGCAGCUAACGCGUGAAGUUGACCGCCUGGGGAGUACGGUCGCAAGAUUAAAACUCAAAGGAAUUGACGGGGACUCCGCACAAGCGGUAGAUGAUGUGGAUUAAUUAUGCAACGCGAAAAACCUUACCUACCCUUGACAUGCUCCGAAUCCCGAAGAGAUUUGGGAGUGCUCGCAAGAGAACCGGAACACAGGUGCUGCAUGGCUGUCGUCAGCAGCUCGUGUCGUGGAGAUGUUGGGUUAAGUCCCGCAACGAGCGCAACCUUUGUCAUUAGUUGCUACGAAAGGGCACCUAAUGAGACUGCCGGUGACAAACCGGAGGAAGGUGGGGAUGACGUCAAGGUCCUCAUGGCCCUUAUGGGUAGGGCUUCACACGUCAUACAAUGGUCGGGACAGAGGGUCGCUAACCCGCGAGGGGGAGCCAAUCCCAGAAACCUGAUCGUAGUCCGAUCGCAGUCUGCAACUCGACUGCGUGAAGCCGGAAUCGCUAGUAAUCGCGGAUCAGCAUGUCGCGGUGAAUACGUUCCCGGGUCUUGUACACACCGCCCGUCACACCAUGGGGAGUGGGUUUUACCAGAAGUAGUUAGCCUAACCGUAAGGAGGCGAUUACCACGGUAGGAUUCGACUGGGGUGAAGUCGUAACAAGGUAA
RNAcentral lists this ribosomal RNA (1474 nucleotides) under uncultured Bordetella sp. RNAcentral describes it as "partial 16S-23S ribosomal RNA intergenic spacer". It matches the Rfam family "Bacterial small subunit ribosomal RNA". The record is from RNAcentral. Lineage: Bacteria; Pseudomonadati; Pseudomonadota; Betaproteobacteria; Burkholderiales; Alcaligenaceae.